Molecule: unclassified non-coding RNA, 270 nt
Filed under: rhizosphere metagenome
Description: partial ribosomal RNA internal transcribed spacer region
Source: RNAcentral
GUAGGUGAGUAACAACCAUCCCAACUAAUCCCUCAAAUACAACUCAAUGCUAACUUAUCUUUUCCAGGUGAACCUGCGGAGGGAUCAUUACCGAGUGAGGGCCCUCGCGCCCGACCUCCAACCCUUUGUCGAUUAAUAUCUGUUGCCUCGGGGGGCGACCCGGACGUCCGCGGCCGGGAGUCCCCCAGAGGACCAAUCAACUCUGCAUCUUUGCGUCGAGUAUUGAAUACAAAUCAAUCAAAACUUUUAACAACGGAUCUCUUGGUUCUG